This 541-nucleotide ribosomal RNA is filed under the name Klebsiella oxytoca. Its description in RNAcentral is "partial 23S ribosomal RNA". It matches the Rfam family "Bacterial large subunit ribosomal RNA", at positions 1220 to 1759 of the family's 2925-position model. The record is from RNAcentral. Lineage: Bacteria; Pseudomonadati; Pseudomonadota; Gammaproteobacteria; Enterobacterales; Enterobacteriaceae.
GUUGUUGGGUAGGGGAGCGUUCUGUAAGCCGUUGAAGGUGGCCUGUGAGGGUUGCUGGAGGUAUCAGAAGUGCGAAUGCUGACAUAAGUAACGAUAAUGCGGGUGAAAAACCCGCACGCCGGAAGACCAAGGGUUCCUGUCCAACGUUAAUCGGGGCAGGGUGAGUCGACCCCUAAGGCGAGGCCGAAAGGCGUAGUCGAUGGGAAACAGGUUAAUAUUCCUGUACUUGGUGUUACUGCGAAGGGGGGACGGAGAAGGCUAUGUUGGCCGGGCGACGGUUGUCCCGGUUUAAGCAUGUAGGCGGAUGUUCCAGGUAAAUCCGGAACGUUAUUAACGCUGAGGUGUGAUGACGAGGCACUACGGUGCUGAAGUGACAAAUGCCCUGCUUCCAGGAAAAGCCUCUAAGCAUCAGGUAACAUCAAAUCGUACCCCAAACCGACACAGGUGGUCAGGUAGAGAAUACCAAGGCGCUUGAGAGAACUCGGGUGAAGGAACUAGGCAAAAUGGUGCCGUAACUUCGGGAGAAGGCACGCUGAUGGUA